Molecule: ribosomal RNA, 758 nt
Filed under: uncultured bacterium
Lineage: Bacteria
Description: bacterial SSU rRNA
Rfam family: Bacterial small subunit ribosomal RNA
Source: RNAcentral
GAACGCUGGCGGCGUGCUUAACACAUGCAAGUCGAACGAUGAUGCCAGCUUGCUGGUGGAUUAGUGGCGAACGGGUGAGUAACACGUGAGUAACCUGCCCUUAACUCUGGGAUAAGCCUGGGAAACUGGGUCUAAUACCGGAUAUGACCUUCCAUCGCAUGGUGGUUGGUGGAAAGCUUUUUGUGGUUUUGGAUGGACUCGCGGCCUAUCAGCUUGUUGGUGAGGUAAUGGCUUACCAAGGCGACGACGGGUAGCCGGCCUGAGAGGGUGACCGGCCACACUGGGACUGAGACACGGCCCAGACUCCUACGGGAGGCAGCAGUGGGGAAUAUUGCACAAUGGGCGCAAGCCUGAUGCAGCGACGCCGCGUGAGGGAUGACGGCCUUCGGGUUGUAAACCUCUUUCAGUAGGGAAGAAGCGAAAGUGACGGUACCUGCAGAAGAAGCGCCGGCUAACUACGUGCCAGCAGCCGCGGUAAUACGUAGGGCGCAAGCGUUAUCCGGAAUUAUUGGGCGUAAAGAGCUCGUAGGCGGUUUGUCGCGUCUGCCGUGAAAGUCCGGGGCUCAACUCCGGAUCUGCGGUGGGUACGGGCAGACUAGAGUGAUGUAGGGGAGACUGGAAUUCCUGGUGUAGCGGUGAAAUGCGCAGAUAUCAGGAGGAACACCGAUGGCGAAGGCAGGUCUCUGGGCAUUAACUGACGCUGAGGAGCGAAAGCAUGGGGAGCGAACAGGAUUAGAUACCCUGGUAGUCCAUGCCGU